UGGGGAAUAUUGGACAAUGGGCGAAAGCCUGAUCCAGCCAUGCCGCGUGUGUGAAGAAGGUCUUCGGAUUGUAAAGCACUUUAAGUUGGGAGGAAGGGCAUUAACCUAAUACGUUAGUGUUUUGACGUUACCGACAGAAUAAGCACCGGCUAACUCUGUGCAAGCAGCCGCGGUAAUACAGAGGGGGCAAGCGUUAAUCGGAAUUACUGGGCGUAAAGCGCGCGUAGGUGGUUUGUUAAGUUGGAUGUGAAAUCCCCGGGCUCAACCUGGGAACUGCAUUCAAAACUGACUGACUAGAGUAUGGUAGAGGGUGGUGGAAUUUCCUGUGUAGCGGUGAAAUGCGUAGAUAUAGGAAGGAACACCAGUGGCGAAGGCGACCACCUGGACUAAUACUGACACUGAGGUGCGAAAGCGUGGGGAGCAAACA
RNAcentral lists this ribosomal RNA (427 nucleotides) under uncultured bacterium. RNAcentral describes it as "partial 16S ribosomal RNA". It matches the Rfam family "Bacterial small subunit ribosomal RNA", at positions 355 to 774 of the family's 1533-position model. The record is from RNAcentral.